CAACUCAGAAAUGUAAAUGUCAUGUAUCAGGCAAAAUUAACUCUAGUGUGUUGCGACCAAGUGCAAUUAUUUCUCUUUUCUUAUUUGAAACAGACUUUAAAAUAGCUACUAAACACCUCUGUAAACAUUAGUGAUGCGAGAGACUACAUUACCCAGGGGACAGUGCUGUGUGUUGUGAUUGUAAUGGCAUUGACCUGAGCGUUGCAGUCUGUUUCUGACGAUCGCUGUGAGCGCUGGAUCUCUCUCUCUCUCUCUUCCGCUCUCUCUCUUUCAAAUACACCACAUAUAUCUGCACACAUCUAAAUUUUACACAGGAUAACUCGUAUGUGAUUGAAGCGCAGGGAUGCAUCAGAUGCGUCUGCAGAUGGGAUUUUAACAUUACUCAUGGAUAUAAACUGGAUGCAUAUUUGGAUUCUUAUGAGAUUUUAUGUUUAAUGCCAUCUGGAUGUGACCAUUCUAAACCAUUCAUGAAUCUCUGCAAUGAGACGUUGAUCAGUGGAAUAGACAGUGGAAUAAACUUACUUUAUAUGGGAUGGACAGGAACACCAUCACAAAUGUUGGACGAGGUGGACAACUUGAUGUCAGACGUCUUCUCUGCUUGCACGACAGAUUUCUGUGAUUUGGUGAUUCAUAUGAGAGGAACACAUUUGUCUGAUCAAUCACUAUGCUGUCAUUCACUAGUAACUCACCACUACAGACGAUGGAUUCCAUGAAUUCUGUACCAUUUUUGCUUAUUUUUUGGCAAAUAAUGGGCUUUGAUGUAUUUGUAAACCUGGCUUUGAAUCAUACAUUAUGUCAGAAAAAGCAAUAUGUCACAUUUUGCCUCUUGUUCUCCAAAGCAGAGAAGUACAGCAAUGGGAACUGACUUUUUCUUUUUUUAAGAACCAGUUCCAUUUAAAAAGCAUAUUGUAUCUGUAUGGAAUAUUUUUUCUGCACAUCUGAAUCUACAGUACAGCAGCAAAAGAAAUUUUUUAAUCAAAUUAUAACUAUUUUUGGCUUUCUUAAAAGCAUAUUCCUUAAAAAUACUACAUUUCAGUUAAUUAACAGUUAAUAUAUGCUAGAUUUUUUAAUGUGUAAAUAAUAAUACAGUUAAUAAUGUGUUAAUAAAACAGUAUUUACCUUGUAAAUUGUGAAUGGAUGGCAAUAACAUUUUAACUGAAAGAAAAAAAAAUUUUUUACUGAAAUGACAAAAUCUUGACAUAUUAAGCCAAUGUUUAGUCCUAAAGCUUCACAUUAUCAGUCUCUGUUAGGAUGUCCUUGUGCAGUGAGAAAAAGAUGUUAAAUGCUAAUAAUAAACACAUUCAAAGUUUAUAA
This is a long non-coding RNA of Paramisgurnus dabryanus, 1314 nucleotides long. RefSeq lists it as uncharacterized. NCBI's taxonomy places the organism in Eukaryota, Metazoa, Chordata, Actinopteri, Cypriniformes, Cobitidae. The record is from RefSeq and is a predicted model, not a curated record.